UACCUGGUUGAUCCUGCCAGUAGUCAUAUGCUUGUCUCAAAGAUUAAGCCAUGCAAGUCUAAGUACGAGCUCUCGUACAGUGAAACUGCGAAUGGCUCAUUAAAUCAGUUAUGGUUCAUUUGAUCGUACAGUUUACUUGGAUAACUGUGGUAAUUCUAGAGCUAAUACAUGCGAGAAGCGCCGACCUCGCGGGAGGCGUGCAUUUAUCAGACCAAAAACCGGCCGCGUCUUCGGGCGCGUUCGCCUUGGUGACUCUGGAUAACUUUGCGGAUCGCACGGUCUAGCACCGGCGACGGAUCAUUCAAGUGUCUGCCCUAUCAACUUUCGUCGGUACGGUAUUUGCCUACCGAGGUUCUUA
Molecule: non-coding RNA, 358 nt
Organism: Ciona savignyi (Pacific transparent sea squirt)
Lineage: Eukaryota; Metazoa; Chordata; Ascidiacea; Phlebobranchia; Cionidae
Source: Rfam